AUAUGAUUCCUCUCCGCUUCUUCUUUUGGACUCCUGUGUCCUUCUCGGCAGCCGAUGAACUCUGCCCAUUUCCCUGGUCUUUAUCAGCUUCUUCAGCCAUUUAUUUUCCUUCACGGUGAGUCAAAAUCAGCAGAAGAAUCUUAGAGGUGUGUCAACCUACAAAACCCAUGUAGUGAAGAAACCUUAAACCCUAUAAAUCAAACAUCAAUUUAAAGCAAUAAUCGGUCAAAAACGAGAAAAAAACACGUGAAAUCAACACAGAUGCUGCAAAAUGACGAUGAUUCUCCGACAAGUGCCAAUUACCCCUUUGCCAAGAAGCGAAAUCCACCCGUCGGCAGUCACCCUUUUGCCAAAAACACAUUAACCAUCCAUUUUCUCCCAAUUUAUUUCCAUCAGAAUCCUAAUACCACCACCUUUUCAGGAAACAAACUGAAAACCGGUAAAGCAGAGGGAAAGGAGCGGGAUGUGAUUGAAAAGAAAGAGAGAGAAAAAGAAAAAAAAAAACCCAGAUCUACAGAUAGAAUCUGCAGAAGAAGCCAAAAGAGAAGAAGUUUAAUCCUACCUCUGGUUACUGUAUCGAACAGCUGUUGCCUAUCUUUCUGGGAUGUAAAAUUAAAAUAAAUUAGUACUUUCCCGUUUCUCUAAUGUCAUGGACUUAGGUGUCCAUCUUAAGCAAGUGCCCUCAACAGUUUCCAGAACCUUCUUAAUGGGGUUGUCACUUCAAUCGGAAAUGAGAGGGCCUACCAGCACCGU
RNAcentral lists this long non-coding RNA (753 nucleotides) under Vitis vinifera (wine grape). RNAcentral describes it as "long non-coding RNA (VVIN_LNC000562)". Lineage: Eukaryota; Viridiplantae; Streptophyta; Magnoliopsida; Vitales; Vitaceae. The record is from RNAcentral.